CAGCCGCCGCGGGAAUACGUAGGGUGCAAGCGUUAAUCGGAAUUACUGGGCGUAAAGCGUGCGCAGGCGGUUAUAUAAGACAGAUGUGAAAUCCCCGGGCUCAACCUGGGAACUGCAUUUGUGACUGUAUAGCUAGAGUACGGCAGAGGGGGAUGGAAUUCCGCGUGUAGCAGUGAAAUGCGUAGAUAUGCGGAGGAACACCGAUGGCGAAGGCAAUCCCCUGGGCCUGUACUGACGCUCAUGCACGAAAGCGUGGGGAGCAAACAGGAUUAGAUACCCCCGUAGUCCCUGUCUCUUAACA
This 301-nucleotide ribosomal RNA is filed under the name uncultured bacterium. Its description in RNAcentral is "partial 16S ribosomal RNA". It matches the Rfam family "Bacterial small subunit ribosomal RNA", at positions 509 to 808 of the family's 1533-position model. The record is from RNAcentral.